This 253-nucleotide ribosomal RNA is filed under the name uncultured bacterium. Its description in RNAcentral is "partial 16S ribosomal RNA". It matches the Rfam family "Bacterial small subunit ribosomal RNA", at positions 524 to 776 of the family's 1533-position model. The record is from RNAcentral.
UACGAAGGGGGCUAGCGUUGCUCGGAAUUACUGGGCGUAAAGGGCGCGUAGGCGGAUGUCUAAGUUGGGGGUGAAAUCCCGGGGCUCAACCUCGGAACCGCCUUCAAUACUGGAUAUCUUGAGUUCGGGAGAGGUGAGUGGAAUGCCGAGUGUAGAGGUGAAAUUCGUAGAUAUUCGGCGGAACACCAGUGGCGAAGGCGACUGACUGGCCCGAUACUGACGCUGAGGCGCGAAAGCGUGGGGAGCAAACAGG